UGCUAACAAUAUUGACCGCCGGGGCACGCGAGCCUAACAAUGCAAGUCGAGCGGUAACAGGUCCAGCUUGCUGGAUGUUGACAAGGGGCGGACGGGUGAGUAAUGCAUAGGAAUCUGCCCGGUAGUGGGGGAUAACCUGGGGAAACCCAGGCUAAUACCGCAUACGUCCUACGGGAGAAAGCAGGGGCUCUUCGGACCUUGCGCUAUCGGAUGAGCCUAUGUCGGAUUAGCUGGUUGGUGAGGUAAUGGCUCACCAAGGCGACGAUCCGUAGCUGGUCUGAGAGGAUGAUCAGCCACAUCGGGACUGAGACACGGCCCGAACUCCUACGGGAGGCAGCAGUGGGGAAUAUUGGACAAUGGGCGCAAGCCUGAUCCAGCCAUGCCGCGUGUGUGAAGAAGGCCCUCGGGUUGUAAAGCACUUUCAGUGGGGAAAAAAGCCUUGCGGUUAAUACCCGGAAGGAAGGACAUCACCCACAGAAGAAGCACCGGCUAACUCCGUGCCACCAGCCGCGGUAAUACGGAGGGUGCGAGCGUUAAUCGGAAUUACUGGGCGUAAAGCGCGCGUAGGCGGUUUGAUAAGCCGGUUGUGAAAAGCCCCGGGCUCAACCUGGGAACGGUAUCCGGAACUGUCAGGCUAGAGUGCAGGAGAGGAAGGUAAAAUUCCCGGUGUAGCGGUGAAAUU
RNAcentral lists this ribosomal RNA (682 nucleotides) under Halomonas sp. RNAcentral's name for it is "bacterial SSU rRNA". It matches the Rfam family "Bacterial small subunit ribosomal RNA", at positions 1 to 688 of the family's 1533-position model. The record is from RNAcentral. Lineage: Bacteria; Pseudomonadati; Pseudomonadota; Gammaproteobacteria; Oceanospirillales; Halomonadaceae.